This is a long non-coding RNA of Meriones unguiculatus (Mongolian gerbil), 3357 nucleotides long. RefSeq lists it as uncharacterized. The record is from RefSeq and is a predicted model, not a curated record. The transcript is spliced from 2 exons. NCBI's taxonomy places the organism in Eukaryota, Metazoa, Chordata, Mammalia, Rodentia, Muridae.
GUAUCUGAAUGGGUUCGUGAGGACAGUACAACUUUUGAGUGUAAAAACAGCUAGAACGCAGCCUUGGGGGUAGGGUGGGGAGGGCUGCACAGCCACUGAACCUCUGCAUGGGGCCCUCGAGAGGUAGUCAAGCGCAGCCAAGCGCAGUGUGGGGCUGGCAUCACACCAGAUACAAGGGUCAUAACUGGCAACCUCCUGACACUGCACAGGAUGCCAAUAGCCCUCCCCCUUCACAGUUCUGGAGCUCAGGGGCCUUGACCGCUCACGGGAUGCGAUCUGCAGCAGGACUGGGAGUCCAGGCUGGCAGAAUAUCAGUGAGAAGAGAUAUGCUGCUCCUGAAAGAGAAGGUAUCUUGUGCUGAAGAACAGACCACACAGGCUUAAGAGAAGUGCGAGGUUGGACCUUGCCCAAGAACCAGGGUACCUAAGAGGUUCUGGCAAAUCUGGGUCGUGGAGACAGUUUUUGUCUGUCCUCAGCUCGUUCUCAACUCCUCACCUUUACUCCAGGACCGCCAGGUCCCUCUGCCUGCCACCUCCUGUUGCAGUUCCUGCUCUGGCCUCUCUGUGCACAGCACAGGGUUUUCUAUCCUAGCAAUGCAGGCACCAAGCUAAACUGUGCCCGCGAGGCACACUCCUUCUUUCAAGUUCUUUGUGGCACGUGGUACCGUCAGCGCUUCCUCCAAGGACCACGAACGUGCACAGUUCUGGUCUGCAACAGGCCCCUGCCGCUGCCAGUUCCACAGCCCCGAUCCACAUAUGCUCAUAGGUUUACUGUAUCCAAAGCCACGAAAAACUGCUGCCAGCAGGAGCUCCAGAGAACCGGGCCAGGGUGUGGAGCUCAGCUGCAGCUCUGGGACAGCACUCCAGGCCAAACGGCUAGGACCCACCUCAGCCGUAACUGUGGGGGCUGCUGGGAUCCACUGGAGCUGAGUCCCGCCGGCCAGCGGGCCGGACAAGCUGCCACAGGCGGUGGCUGAGAUUCUGGACUUGGCAUGUGCCCAGUACGCAGCCCACCCGAAGAAGCUGGGCCUGGGGUCUUCGGGAUCCCAAGUGUCGCUGGGAACCUGGCUGUCGUGAGCCACCACCCUGAUGCAGAUGAACCACGGCAAGGGCCGGAUUGCCCCUUCCCUGUGGAUGGGGAGCAUGACGAGGCCGGAGUGAAGGGUGUCCAGGGUGCAGGCCACUGGAAGGAAUCUUGGCUGGGGACUCUCUGAAGAAGGGGAGGGAAGAUGGAAACUCAGUGGCCUAGUAUAGCCUUCCAAAGGCCCUUAAACCCAUUCACUUCUCCUUUACACAGUCUGAGGGCCCUGACAGGGGAAGCCCGCAGCUUCCCUAAAAGCCUGGCCUAGGACCAGGGGAAGCCCAAAGCUUGGUCUCCAACCUGAAGACUGAGAGGGGCAGCCCACCACCCUUCCAAGCUUACUGGCAGCUUGGCCAUCUCAGUAGCCCAAGUCACAUGCACUAUUAACAGCACCGUUCUGGGCAAAGGUCCCCAAGUCACUUAGGCUCUGUGUGCACUGCUCUAAGAAUUCAGAAAGACCCCCGCACCCUGGGUUAUUCCCUUACGUGGUCGGAAGCCAGCAGGCCUGAGAAUGCAUUUAGCCUCCCUUCCUCCCGAGGAAGGGCUAUUGUAUAGGGGCGGGGGUUAGGGUGGGAAAUAAGUACUCCAAGCAGAAAGGAGCAAAGAAGAAAAAGUCCACUUGCCUUGUUCAGGCAACACCGAAGGUGCGAGGGUGGCCCCUGAUGUGGGAGAUGAGCUCUAGAAAAGUUAGGUCCCCAAGAGGAGGCUGGUCCAACCCUUGUACUCACCUGGAUCUGGAGAGCCUCAGUCCCUUGGCCAGGCCGCCAGACAGCGUGCCGGGGAGCAGGUAGAGGAGGCUGAUGCAACCGAGGGUUACCGUGACCAUCAGCAACUGGGCCAUGGCGGGCUGAGCUGUGGAAGAAGAAUGCGGCGAAACCGGCAAAUGGGUUGGAGGAGGGCAACUCUGGCCUGGAGCCAACCCUCCUCGCCCACCAGUUAGGGAGCCCUUCUCCACCCGGGCACCCGGGUCGUGGGAAGAUUGGUUGGUACCGGCGUCUGUUGUCUGUCGGGGCACAAGUCCCGAGAUUUAGAGACAGCAGGCGGGGCUGCGGUCUGUUGGCAGUUCGCAGAGCACGCAGUGGAGCCUGUGGGUCAGGUAGUGGUCUCCAGGGAUAGCUCGCCUUCUGGGGUCCAGCGGAAGACCAGCUUGGGAAGCACUUCCAGCGCUAAGUAGUCUUUGGAGCUGAAGGCGGGGCUCGCCGCUGAUGGGGCGGGGCGUCCUCCACCCGGGUGGGCUGCCUUAGCCAAGCUCUCUUAACAGCCACUCCUGCCUAGCAGGAAGCAGUAAAGCCACAGGGGGUCACUUCAACGGGUCCAUCCCUGCUGGGCAAUGCUCAACAGCUGGCCAGAGUAACUCGGGGGGAGGGGGGGAGUACCACACUCACUCCUGGUACUUUCUGGUUCCUGACAUUCCCAGAGACUAGUGGGGCCCAGUGACCAACGGGGCAGAAAGGUGAGUGCUGGGAUAGAGUUGGGUUCUGACUCCAAAGGACAUCCACCUGCUACCUCUUCCUGAAGGCCAGGAGCAGGACUUGGUUGCCCAGCAUCCGAGGAGAUAACGGCAGAUUACUGCUGGCUGCCUUCUUGUUUCCAGACAGGCGGUUCCUCACUACCAAAUAAUUGUAAUACAAGUACAAAGAGAGCCCCACCACCACCACCAUAGCAGUAUUCUGGGUGACAGACUCAUUCCUCUUUUCUGCACACAGUAUUCUCUGUACGUGUACACACAUGCACAAGUGAGUAGUGUGUGUGUAAGCAUAAAGACGUUCUUUCGUAUGGUGGGACAUACUUGAAUAUGUAGAUAUUCUGUGAGUUGCUUUUUUUUUUUAUUAGCCUCUUCUCCCCCGCCCCCAUCCCUCUGCCCUGGGGAAUGAACCAGGCAAGCACCUAUCACAGAGCUACAUCCUCAGUUACCUUGUUUGCCUUCUUUGUUGAGGUGGGGUCUUCCUAAAUUACGCAGGCCAUCCAUGAACUCCCUCUGUAGUCUAGGGAGGAAGUCCACCUGAAGUCUUCCUGAAUCUGCCUUUUGAAUAGCUGGGAUUAUAAGUCUGCACCACGAGCCCAGCAACUGGCCUUUUUUUUUUUUAAUGCCUCUACAUGCCUCCUUUUUACUUAUUUUUAUUAAUCUUUAGUGUACAAAAUUAUGGAUUUUAUUAUGACACGUUCAUAAACACAUUAUUGUACUUUGCUCAUAUUCACCCCAUCGGUCCUUCAUCAAUUUAAAUUUCAGUGAUUUUCAGAUUUUCCACAACUAAAACCCCUAUCAUCGUAAGCUCA